Molecule: ribosomal RNA, 301 nt
Filed under: uncultured bacterium
Lineage: Bacteria
Description: partial 16S ribosomal RNA
Rfam family: Bacterial small subunit ribosomal RNA
Source: RNAcentral
CAGCAGCCGCGGUAAUACGGAGGAUCCAAGCGUUAUCCGGAAUCAUUGGGUUUAAAGGGUCCGUAGGCGGUCUUGUAAGUCAGUGGUGAAAGCCCAUCGCUCAACGGUGGAACGGCCAUUGAUACUGCAGGACUUGAAUUAUUGGGAAGUAACUAGAACAUGUAGUGUAGCGGUGAAAUGCUUAGAGAUUACAUGGAAUACCAAUUGCGAAGGCAGGUUACUACCAAUUGAUUGACGCUGAUGGACGAAAGCGUGGGUAGCGAACAGGAUUAGAUACCCCAGUAGUCCCUGUCUCUUAUAU